UUGGAGGGCAAGUCUGGUGCCAGCAGCCGCGGUAAUCCCAGCUCCAAUAGCGUAUAUUAAAGUUGUUGCAGUUAAAAAGCUCGUAGUUGAAUUUCGGGACCAAUUUGUUGGUCGUGCCUCGGUACGUACUGGUAUUAUUGGUUUCUCCCUUCUGAAGAACCUUGAUGUCAUUAAUUUGGUGUCUUGGGGAAUCAGGACUGUUACUUUGAAAAAAUUAGAGUGUUUAAAGCAGGCAUACGCUUGAAUACAUUAGCAUGGAAUAAUGAAAUAGGACGUUCGAUCCUAUUUUGUUGGUUUCUAGGAUCGACGUAAUGAUUAAUAGGGAUAGUUGGGGGCAUUAGUAUUCAAUUGUCAGAGGUGAAAUUCUUGGAUUUAUUGAAGACUAACUACUGCGAAAGCAUUUGCCAAGGAUGUUUUCAUUAAUCAAGAACGAAAGUUAGGGGAUCGAAGACGAUCAGAUACCGUCGUAGUCUUAACCAUAAACUAUGCCGACUAGGGAUCGGAUGAUGUUAAUUUUUUAAUGACUCAUUCGGCGCCUUACGGGAAAC
RNAcentral lists this ribosomal RNA (548 nucleotides) under uncultured Glomus. Its description in RNAcentral is "SSU rRNA". It matches the Rfam family "Eukaryotic small subunit ribosomal RNA", at positions 548 to 1098 of the family's 1831-position model. The record is from RNAcentral. Lineage: Eukaryota; Fungi; Glomeromycota; Glomeromycetes; Glomerales; Glomeraceae.